CCUACGGGUGGCUGCAGUGGGGAAUAUUGGACAAUGGGCGAAAGCCUGAUCCAGCCAUCCCGCGUGUGUGAAGAAGGCCUUCGGGUUGUAAAGCACUUUCAGUGGGGAAGAAAGCCUUGGGGCUAAUACCCUCGAGGAAGGACAUCACCCACAGAAGAAGCACCGGCUAACUCCGUGCCAGCAGCCGCGGUAAUACGGAGGGUGCGAGCGUUAAUCGGAAUUACUGGGCGUAAAGCGCGCGUAGGCGGUCUGAUAAGCCGGUUGUGAAAGCCCCGGGCUCAACCUGGGAACGGCAUCCGGAACUGUCAGGCUAGAGUGCAGGAGAGGAAGGUAGAAUUCCCGGUGUAGCGGUGAAAUGCGUAGAGAUCGGGAGGAAUACCAGUGGCGAAGGCGGCCUUCUGGACUGACACUGACGCUGAGGUGCGAAAGCGUGGGUAGCAAACAGGAUUAGAUACCCGGGUAGUC
This 465-nucleotide ribosomal RNA is filed under the name Vreelandella stevensii. RNAcentral describes it as "partial 16S ribosomal RNA". It matches the Rfam family "Bacterial small subunit ribosomal RNA", at positions 338 to 795 of the family's 1533-position model. The record is from RNAcentral. Lineage: Bacteria; Pseudomonadati; Pseudomonadota; Gammaproteobacteria; Oceanospirillales; Halomonadaceae.